CAUGGCUUAGUGGUAGAGUGCUUGCCUAGCAUGCAUGAAGCCCUGGGUUCGAUUCCUCAGUG
Molecule: transfer RNA, 62 nt
Filed under: Dipodomys ordii (Ord's kangaroo rat)
Lineage: Eukaryota; Metazoa; Chordata; Mammalia; Rodentia; Heteromyidae
Rfam family: tRNA
About the family: Transfer RNA (tRNA) molecules are approximately 80 nucleotides in length. Their secondary structure includes four short double-helical elements and three loops (D, anti-codon, and T loops).
Source: Rfam by way of RNAcentral